GUGCUCGCUUCGGCAGCACAUAUACUAAAAUUGGAACGAUACAGAGAUUAGCAUGGCCCCUGCGCAAGCAUUCCAUAUUUAAAAAAAUAAAUAAAUAAAUAAAA
Molecule: small nuclear RNA, 104 nt
Organism: Mastomys coucha (southern multimammate mouse)
Lineage: Eukaryota; Metazoa; Chordata; Mammalia; Rodentia; Muridae
Source: RefSeq, a predicted model, not a curated record